GGAGACGGAGGGACGCGGGGCGGGGCGCGCGGGGCAGGCGCGGGCUCCUCGCAGGGGGCUGCCGGUCUGGGCGGGGCUCGUGCAAGUUCACGCCGCGCGGCGCGGGUGCUCAAGUGCUGCGCUGGUGCCGCCCCGCCCCGCCCCCAAUUUUAUGCUCCUCUCUCUGACCAGCAAUCCCGGUGGAUUGCAGGACAGGAGGCGUGCAGGGGGGAAGCGGGCAGCCCAGGUUUCCGAUUUACUGGCCUCGGCCAGAGUGGGGUCUGCGCGCUGAGUCCGGGUCCUUCGGGUGCGUGGAGGGCAGUUCGUUCAACUUGGACUCCUCCGCGCGCUCCUGGCUCCGCGGGGACCCAGGGUCUGCGUUGGAGUCAGAGGGCUGCUGUUUCCGGGCCGGCAGCCACAGUGCGCCCCCAACCCGUCUCUUUCCCUUCUCGACGGCCCUGGUCGCCCCAAAGCGAACCGCGCGGGGAGCGUGUGCCCGAACCGCAGACCGGCGGCCCGCACCACCGCCUCCAGGCCGUCGGCGCUCGCCGGCCCCUGGAACUCCACGUUUUCUGUCUGCCCAAUUCUCGGGGCUGGGCCCGCAGGCACCUUUGCCUACGACGGACUUGAAUUCGGCCAGUUCCCAAGUUCUGCCCUGACACCGGCGUGCCCCGAAUCCUCAGCACCCGCGGCCCUCCCCGGUGGGAGCCGCGGCGUCGCUCCCAGGCCACCCCACCUGGGCAAGUGCCCUCGCCGAGCCUGGCCUUCGUGGCUCGGUGCACCCUGUAGGGCGCAGGAGCUCCUUCCAGGAAGACGAGGAUGUUUUCAGAGUUCCAAAGCCACUCUGGCUAAGAAGUCCGGUCUCGGCCACUGAAGAGGAACGAUUCGUUAUGAGAGCAGUGUGCUGUGCAAGGGAGAGCUCUGCCGUUCCAACGAUUGAGCACCAGGUCUGGCAGCGAGAAGAGUUUUGUUGCAUAAAUAAAUCUUAUCAUUCAGUUAUGUCUAUCCCCUAAAUCACCAGAUUAUUGCCACAGUAUCUCUUUUUGUUUACAUCACGAAGAUUAUCUACACAUAUCAAAUUACCUGGAUCAUUGCCCACUCUUCCUUUCACUUUUUACUAAAAGCACCUUUGGUUCUUAGAUUUUAAAAAAGCAAUCAAGGCCGGCGCCGCGGCUCACUAGGCUAAUCCUCCGCCUAGCGGCGCCGGCACACCGGGUUCUAGUCCCGGUCGGGGCGCCGGAUUCUGUCCCGGUUGCCCCUCUUCCAGGCCAGCCCUCUGCUGUGGCCAGGGAGUGCAGUGGAGGAUGGCCCAGGUGCUUGGGCCCUGCACCCCAUGGGAGACCAGGAAAAGCACCUGGCUCCUGGCUCCUGCCAUCGGAUCAGCGCGGUGCGCCGGCCGCAGCGCGCCGGCC
Oryctolagus cuniculus (rabbit) is the source of this 1391-nucleotide non-coding RNA. The record is from RefSeq and is a predicted model, not a curated record. NCBI's taxonomy places the organism in Eukaryota, Metazoa, Chordata, Mammalia, Lagomorpha, Leporidae.